RNAcentral lists this non-coding RNA (219 nucleotides) under Karenia brevis. Lineage: Eukaryota; Dinophyceae; Gymnodiniales; Kareniaceae. The record is from RNAcentral.
AGCAUUGCCAGGAGCAAACUCCUCGUUUGUGCGCUGCAAAGUCGUGCUUCCCCUGCCUUCUGAAACACAUGCAGAUGCUCACCAUCACUUGCAACAAGGACACCCAAACACAAAAGAAUUCAAAACCAAACACUGACAGCAUUGCUCAAGUCAAUCUCAGUGUUGGCACUCACCGGCAGCACAUCUUGAAAUGCUGAAACAUUCCAAAGCUCAAAUUAU